GACGUAGGGCGCGAGCGUUGUCCGGAUUUAUUGGGCGUAAAGAGCUCGUAGGCGGUCUGUUGCGUCAGGAGUGAAAACUCGGGGCUUAACCCCGAGCCUGCUUCUGAUACGGACAGACUAGAGGUAUGCAGGGGAGAACGGAAUUCCUGGUGUAGCGGUGAAAUGCGCAGAUAUCAGGAGGAACACCGGUGGCGAAGGCGGUUCUCUGGGCAUUACCUGACGCUGAGGAGCGAAAGUGUGGGGAGCGAACAGG
This 253-nucleotide ribosomal RNA is filed under the name uncultured bacterium. Its description in RNAcentral is "partial 16S ribosomal RNA". It matches the Rfam family "Bacterial small subunit ribosomal RNA", at positions 524 to 776 of the family's 1533-position model. The record is from RNAcentral.